This 672-nucleotide ribosomal RNA is filed under the name Triticum aestivum (bread wheat). RNAcentral describes it as "partial small subunit ribosomal RNA". The record is from RNAcentral. Lineage: Eukaryota; Viridiplantae; Streptophyta; Magnoliopsida; Poales; Poaceae.
GUGUGCACGCCAAGGUGGGCGGGCGAGCUUGGCAUCCCGGAUCUCACGUGGCUAAACACUGCUCUUCAGGCCCGCUGGCCUUGGUUGCAACGUGUGGACACCUCCCGGCCUUGGGCUAACUUUGACAUCAAGAUCCUAGAGGAAGCGCGCAAAAUCUUCCAAGCCACGGCGCUCGCCGUGGUUGGCGAUGGUAGGAAGACGUUGUUCUGGGAGGAUAGGUGGAUUCAGGGCAUGAGGGUGCAAGGCAUUGCGCCAGGCCUAUACUCGCGGGUGCAAAAGCGGAUUUGUGCAGCCUGUACAGUGUUCGAAGCUUCGCAGGAUGGCGCCUGGGCUCGGGAUAUUGGCCCGGAUAUUGAUCACACCUCACUUACCGAAGUCUUUGGGCUAUGGGAGAAGGUAGAAGAGGUGCAACUAACUCCUAUGGUGGAGGACUCCAUAACUUGGGCAUGGGAGGCGAGUGGCUCUUACUCUGCGAGAUCGGCCUAUGCGGCCAAGUUUUGGGGCAUGGAAGUAGCGACAUAUGCAGAGAUGGCUUGGAGCUCGAAGGCUCCGAAGCAAUGUUAUUUUUUCGCUUGGCUUGCGGGGAGAAACAUGUGUUGGGCCUCAGAUCAGUUGGCACGCCGUGGUCUGCCACACCAAGCUACUUGUCCCUUUUGUAGACAAGACGCAUAG